GGAACACCUUGUUCAAGUACUUGAUGAUCCUGAGUUUAAGAAAAUGUUCUAUACUUCCUUGAAAGUUGCCUCAAAGGCUUGGGAUGCAUUUAAAUCUGGAUGCCAGAGCGUCAUGGGCAUGUUUAGUCUCCAGUCAAAGGAUGCUUACAAGUUCCUGGAGAUAAGCCCAUCCUCUCUCAGCCCAGAAGAGUGGAAAAAAGAGUAUGAUGCUGUCAAAGAGCAGCUGGAGAAAUUUUAUCCUGCCCUCCAGGAGAAGCAAGACCGUGAGGAACAAAUGGCCAUCGAGUGACCUAACUAUUCAGACAAGAAGUUGGCCAUUUCUUGACAACCACUGUCACCAAGUCAAAAACAUACAUAGGGGGUGGGACUGAUUCUUAUCUUAGUGGCAUGUACGUUUUCUGUGCCUUUUCAAUAAUUCAGUACUGUCAGGUAGAUUUCUAUUAUUGUGUUGAUCAUAGGGACAUACUGUACUUUGUUCUUCAGAGCUCAUGUCAUCUAACAGUAUAUUUGCAUAAUUUUGUUGAUAGCAGAACAUUUUGAUCUAUUCAAAUAGAUACACUUCUGGUCUGCCAGCUCUUAAAGACCUCUCUGUUGUUCAGAGUUUGUAUGUACAUGAGCUUAGAAACAUGUAGAUGAUACAAUAUUGAUAAAUAAUCUUGUAUAUUCCCAGUGUUUUUAAAACAGUAAAAUGGUAUUGGUGACCUGGGAUGUUUAAAGUGAUAUAUCAAUGUAACUACUGAACCUCUGUUCUUUGCUACUUAUCUACUUUAAUUUGUCCCCCAAGAAAAAUGUAAUCAAAUUAAAUCAAAGUUUGCUACAA
Long non-coding RNA from Esox lucius (northern pike), 820 nucleotides. RefSeq lists it as uncharacterized. The record is from RefSeq and is a predicted model, not a curated record. The transcript has 2 exons. NCBI's taxonomy places the organism in Eukaryota, Metazoa, Chordata, Actinopteri, Esociformes, Esocidae.